RNAcentral lists this unclassified non-coding RNA (208 nucleotides) under Graphium basitruncatum. Its description in RNAcentral is "partial contains small subunit ribosomal RNA, internal transcribed spacer 1, and 5.8S ribosomal RNA". The stretch from base 1 to 46 matches the Rfam family "Eukaryotic small subunit ribosomal RNA", at positions 1786 to 1831 of the family's 1831-position model. Lineage: Eukaryota; Fungi; Ascomycota; Sordariomycetes; Microascales; Graphiaceae. The record is from RNAcentral.
AAGUCGUAACAAGGUCUCCGUUGGUGAACCAGCGGAGGGAUCAUUACCGAGUGUUUCUACUCUAAACCCACUGUGAACCUUACCACUGUCGUUGCUUCGGCGGGCGUCCGCGCCCGCCGGCAGCACCCAAACUCUUGAUUUUUGUAUGCCUCUCUGAGUACUAAAGACAAAACAAUCAAAACUUUCAACAACGGAUCUCUUGGCUGUG